UAAGGAAUAUUGGUCAAUGGAGGCAACUCUGAACCAGCCAUGCCGCGUGCAGGAAGACGGCCCUAUGGGUUGUAAACUGCUUUUGUACCAGAGAAAACCCUUCUACGUGUAGAAGGUUGAUAGUAUGGUAAGAAUAAGCAUCGGCUAACUUCGUGCCAGCAGCCGCGGUAAGACGAAGGAUGCAAGCGUUAUCCGGAUUCAUUGGGUUUAAAGGGUGCGUAGGCGGACUGAUAAGUCAGUGGUGAAAUCUCUCGGCUUAACCGAGAAACUGCCAUUGAUACUGUUAGUCUAGAGUAUAGAUGACGUUGGCGGAAUAUGACAUGUAGUGGUGAAAUACUUAGAUAUGUCAUAGAACACCGAUUGCGAAGGCAGCUAACGAAACUAUAACUGACGCUGAGGCACGAAAGUGCGGGGAUCAAACAGGAUUAGAUACCCCGGUAGUCC
This 444-nucleotide ribosomal RNA is filed under the name uncultured bacterium. RNAcentral's name for it is "bacterial SSU rRNA". It matches the Rfam family "Bacterial small subunit ribosomal RNA", at positions 355 to 796 of the family's 1533-position model. The record is from RNAcentral.